GACGAACGCUGGCGGCGUGCUUAACACAUGCAAGUCGAACGGAAAGGCCCUGCUUGCAGGGUACUCGAGUGGCGAACGGGUGAGUAACACGUGGGUGAUCUGCCCUGCACUUCGGGAUAAGCCUGGGAAACUGGGUCUAAUACAGGAUAGGAGCCAUCUUUAGUGUGAUGGUUGGAAAGUUUUUUCGGUGUAGGAUGAGCUCGCGGCCUAUCAGCUUGUUGGUGGGGUAAUGGCCUACCAAGGCGGCGACGGGUAGCCGGCCUGAGAGGGUGGACGGCCACAUUGGGACUGAGAUACGGCCCAGACUCCUACGGGAGGCAGCAGUGGGGAAUAUUGCACAAUGGGCGCAAGCCUGAUGCAGCGACGCCGCGGGGGGGAUGACGGCCUUCGGGUUGUAAACUCCUUUCGCUAGGGACGAAGCUUUUUGUGACGGUACCUAGAGAAGAAGCACCGGCUAACUACGUG
Molecule: ribosomal RNA, 465 nt
Filed under: uncultured bacterium
Lineage: Bacteria
Description: partial 16S ribosomal RNA
Rfam family: Bacterial small subunit ribosomal RNA
Source: RNAcentral